UCGAAAUAGCAUGUAGCUUGUACAGUGCUCAGGACAGGCUGACAGCCAAUUAUCAACAUCUUUGUCUCCACAGAAUUCCUUUUUAUAUACAUCCUCAAUUCCAGUUCUGGACUUGAAAAGGAGACCAUUUUUCUAGAGAGGGAUUUCCUCCAAUAUCUCAUCUCUCGGUGUCUCUGUGUGUUUUAACAGGCAGGCAGGCACUCCCAUGGGGUUACAGUCUUGCAAGCUUUCCAGCUCCUGCCUACAAAGUGAGGAGGAAUGCAAACCGUCUUGUGGCUGCUGCUGUAUGUGCGAGGACUGGAGAUAUUGCUCUGACCAUUGCUGUGACAUCUGCUGCCAGAUGUGUAUGGAUGUGUGCACUGGCCUCUGUCCUGCAGACUGCAGCUAUUCCUUCUGUUAUCUCUGCCUUACAUUUGUACAGAACUGUCUUGGUUUUUUCCAGCAAACAAACAGAAGCAUAACGGAGACAGAAACCAGUAGCAAGUCCACAACAGCAUGCCAAGCGAUUGUCUGACAAACCAAACGCAAAAGACUGACUUAGAGAAAAAGAAAAAGAAAAAGAAAGCUUUACAAGGACUAUGGUGCUCCAUGAAAACCUGUUCUGCACUGCCAAAAAGCAGUCCUGUUGUUUAAAACUAAUGAAAACCCAGCAGGCUCAACUGUCCUCAAGCUGUAAUAAAGUAUUUGGU
Neolamprologus brichardi is the source of this 689-nucleotide long non-coding RNA. RefSeq lists it as uncharacterized. The record is from RefSeq and is a predicted model, not a curated record. NCBI's taxonomy places the organism in Eukaryota, Metazoa, Chordata, Actinopteri, Cichliformes, Cichlidae.